RNAcentral lists this ribosomal RNA (1019 nucleotides) under Desulfovibrionaceae bacterium enrichment culture clone MS_OIL_U2. RNAcentral describes it as "bacterial SSU rRNA". It matches the Rfam family "Bacterial small subunit ribosomal RNA", at positions 46 to 1061 of the family's 1533-position model. Lineage: Bacteria; Pseudomonadati; Thermodesulfobacteriota; Desulfovibrionia; Desulfovibrionales; Desulfovibrionaceae. The record is from RNAcentral.
GCUUACACAUGCAGUCGAGCGAGAAGCUCUCUUCGGAGAGUGAGUAGAGCGGCGCACGGGUGAGUAACGCGUGGAUAAUCUACCCUGAAGAACGGGAUAACAGUUGGAAACGACUGCUAAUACCGUAUAUCCUGCAUAUUUAACUUUAUGUGGUAAAGAUGGCCUCUAUUUAUAAGCUAUCGCUUUGGGAUGAGUCCGCGUCUCAUUAGAUUGUUGGUGGGGUAAUGGCCUACCAAGUCUACGAUGAGUAGCUGGUCUGAGAGGAUGAUCAGCCACACUGGGACUGAAACACGGCCCAGACUCCUACGGGAGGCAGCAGUGGGGAAUAUUGCGCAAUGGGGGAAACCCUGACGCAGCGACGCCGCGUGUAGGAAGAAGGCCUUCGGGUCGUAAACUACUGUCAGGAGGGAAGAAACUGUUUGGGUAUAAUACGCCCAUUCACUGACGGUACCUCCAGAGGAAGCACCGGCUAACUCCGUGCCAGCAGCCGCGGUAAUACGGAGGGUGCGAGCGUUAAUCGGAAUCACUGGGCGUAAAGCGUGCGUAGGCGGCGCAGUAAGUCAGACGUGAAAGCCCUCGGCUCAACCGAGGAGUUGCGUUUGAAACUACUGUGCUAGAGUCUCGGAGAGGUUGGCGGAAUUCCAGGUGUAGGAGUGAAAUCCGUAGAUAUCUGGAGGAACACCGGUGGCGAAAGCGGCCAACUGGACGAGUACUGACGCUGAGGUACGAAAGCGUGGGGAGCAAACAGGAUUAGAUACCCUGGUAGUCCACGCCGUAAACGAUGGAUAUUAGGUGUCGGGGGUAACCCUUCGGUGCCGCAGUUAACGCGUUAAAUAUCCCGCCUGGGGAGUACGGUCGCAAGGCUGAACUCAAAGGAAUUGACGGGGCCGCACAAGCGGUGGAGUAUGUGGUUUAUUCGAUGCACGCGAAGAUCUUACCUAGCUUGACAUCUGCGAUCUCUUUUAAACGAGAGAGUGCCUUCGGGAAUGCAUGACAGUGCUGCAUGCUGUCGUCAGCUC